Tetranychus urticae (two-spotted spider mite) is the source of this 1112-nucleotide non-coding RNA. The record is from RefSeq and is a predicted model, not a curated record. Lineage: Eukaryota; Metazoa; Arthropoda; Arachnida; Trombidiformes; Tetranychidae.
GCUUCAUUAAACAUCAUAAUAAUAGCAUUCAAUAAACAUUAUUUUUUUUACCUUUUACCUUGUAAAAUGAUAAUAACUUUUUGAUCAUCAUUUUUACUUUCUUUUUUUUCUCUUGUUCAUCAUCAACACUUUCUUCCUUUCAUCAACAAUCAUGUUAAUAGAAAGGCAAUAUUGACAGGUAACGUUACAAUGAUUCUGGAUGAGAACAAUUGAACAGGACAAAAACCACAACAAUCUCUUCUGUUAACCCAAUCUGCUUCAACAACACUUUCCUUUUCACCAUUCAUCUCUUUCAAAUUCAUCAUGUUCUGUUUUAUUGUACCUUUAAUUUUGACUGAAUCUUCUGUCUUCUUAAACUUCCUCUCCUUCUUUCUUUACCCUGUAUUCUGAUUUAAUAUCGUCUUCAUUGAAGCUCAGCUUUUUUCCAUCUCCCUGUGAACCAAAAGUGCUUUGUUUUUCAACUCAUUUUCCCCAUUCUUUUUGCCUUCUCUUUCUCUCUGUAAAUUAAUCUUCUCUCUCUCUAUCAAUUUCAAUAGUUUAAUCAGGAUGAUGAAGGAGCAGGAAAUGAUAUUAUUCAUUCAUUUAUUCAGUGCGAAUUGAAAAGGAUCUCAUUUUGAAAAAUCAAAUCCAUUUGCAUUAGUUAAAGAGCAACUAUUGACCCAAUAAGGAGUGCAGAUCAUUUUAUAAUUUAAUCAAAAAUCAUUUUGAUAAACUAUACUAUCAAUUAGUGUUUCAAAUAUUGCACUGUGAUCAUUGAAAUGAAUUGAUUAAACAACCAGAAAUGGUUAACAUCAACACUAAACGGAAACACUAACCAACAACAACAAGAGUUAUUGAUUGCCAUUUACUAUUUAAAAGCAAUUUAACCUUAUUCACUUCAAUAUAAAGAGUUUAUCUCAUUGUGAAACUUCAAGCAAUUUUGAUGGCAUCAAGUCAUAACCUUUAAUAACCUUAAAAGUCCUACCAAUUGACUGUCAAUUGAUGAAACAUUUAAAACUAUUAUCCCAUUUCAAAUCCAUGAGCUUCAUAUUUCAAGAUAUUAACCCUUAAAGCCAACAAUAGUGACUUUUCAACUAGUUUGCCGUUUAAAUAAAGUGAUCCCAUUGUCCGAA